This is a long non-coding RNA of Melospiza melodia melodia, 2382 nucleotides long. RefSeq lists it as uncharacterized. NCBI's taxonomy places the organism in Eukaryota, Metazoa, Chordata, Aves, Passeriformes, Passerellidae. The record is from RefSeq and is a predicted model, not a curated record. The transcript is spliced from 2 exons.
GCGCCGGUGCUGCUGGCGCUCCUCCGGCUGCCUGCUGCGGCCUGAGAAAAAGAAUGUCAGCGUGCGUUUUGCUGGUGGAUAACGCGUAUUUUAGCCUUCGCAGAAAAUGUAGUCAUGCUACUGAUGUUGGUUUUCUGCGGAACAGCCUCAGUCCGGUCGAGGUGCUUUUUUCCCUGCGUGAUUAUUUCCCCACCUGUUGCUCCUGUGUUGUCUAGUCAUAUGGAUCCCGUCCCGUUAAUCAUCUUUUACCUCUCUUUGGAUCCCUAGGUAGAAGUUUAUCUCAAAAUUUCUACCUGUUCACAAGCAAUUAGAAGGAAGUGUUUCAGAGGAGAUGUGACAAGUUUCUGGUCCCCAGUUCUUCAUGUUUUCCCAGUAGCAUCCAGGUAUCCUGCUUAUUUCUCUGCCAUAGUUUAGAGAGUAUGUUACUUCAUAGAUUUGUGUGGAAUAAUUUGUCUUCACCUGGAAGCAAUUCACUGGAAUGCUACAAGACCCACGGUUUCCUUUCACUGCUGGUUUUAGUGUUUGGUACCUGGGGUUUACUUUUUACACUUUUUCAGACCUUCAUUUUCUCCACAAUUAGUUCACAUAUCAUCACAGUACUUUCCUGUUACUGUUGCUCAGUUUGUCUACUCUAUUUUUUUUUAAUAUGUCAGCUCACCCCAGUCUGUGCAUGUUAGCCCCAAACUCCUUUAAUGCUUAAAUCUGGAGGUCUGUUUUAAUUACGGAGUACAAUGACCAAAGAAACAUGUAAUUCACCACACAACCAGCUCCUCAGUAGCCAGCCCUGUGGAACACGUUUGUGUUGCAGCAAGUUUACAGAGAGCAAUUCUGAGUAUCUGCAGCUGUGCUAAGGUGGCCUGGUCAUCAUCACUCACUGCUGACCAGCAGGCCCUGAGGGGAUCCUCAAACCCUGUGUGAGGACCUGUUAUUGCUCCUAGAACCACCACAGCUCUCUUUUCCUCGGUCAGUACCUGCCCCUGCAGCCGAUGCACCGUCAGUGUCUGCCUGUCACCCCGGUCUGGUUCUCUUCUGCUAGACACAGAGAUAGCCAUUGCAGCUGGCCCACAGCCACCAUGCUGCUGUCCGCCCGCUGGCCAACUUACAGCAAGGACUAAAACCCCGACAGGAGAUACAUGUGGAUCAGUUUGACCUUGGCUUUAGAUUUCAUCCCAAAUUCUGACUGCUGCAUAUCAAGCUUGAACCUGUGAUCUCAUCUACUGCAUGUGUCUGCAAAGCAGGACUGACGACUUCCAAGGCUCUCUGAGGUGUAAUUGUGGAAGCACAAAAUGUUUGGGAAUGGAAGUGACCUCUGGACAUCAUCUAUAUCAACCCCCCUGCUAAAUCAGCUUCACCUAGAACAGGUUGCACAGGAUCACAUCCAGGUGGGUUUGAAGUGUCUCCAGAGAAGGAGCUUCUGCAGCCUCUGCCUUGUAAUCUUCUUGCCGGUCUAUGAUUGCAGGGCAGAUAAUGCCUACAAAGGUCAAUAGUUUGUUUAACAAGAGCUAAGAGAAAAGUGCAAUAAAGAAGGAAAGUAAUUUCUAAAUUUUAGCAUGUUUGCUAGAAUAUCACUCUAGCUGAGCUUGGUAAUGUGAAGCAGAAUGUGUUACAGCAAUUGAUGGGGAAGAUUUUUUUGUUUGAUUUGUUAGUGCAGUAAAAGUUGCCCUAUAGUUAGAAAUAAUCAAAUAAAAGACUUUUAUUCCUUCUUGUUUGGCUAUUGUUAUUCAGAGUUCUCUCUCUCCCUUGUCCUUACAUGUUCCAUUACCAUAGUUAUUAUGGGAUCUUUGGUUGCUAAUGGAGUAAUGAAGAAAGAGGCAUCUAAACUUCAAUAUUUAUCACAUAUUGACUUCUUUAUUGCAUUAAUAGCAGGGCAGAAUUACCAGAUGUAUGUGUAAUUAAAGCUUUAAGGCUGCCAUUUUAUUUUAAACUUAUAAAGGUUGUAUUGGAAUGUAAGGAAAUUUUCAAAAGUUCAAGAUAACUUACAUUAAAGACCAACUGUUUAAUUGAGUGUUGUGAAAAAGAAGUAUUGUGAAUAAGGAGAGUGAGGCUACUUUAUUUAACUGUUGGCUCUUCUCCUGUUAAAGUGUCCUCCAGAAAUAAUUUUAAAAUGCAAUUCUGUAUGUAUGAUUGACUAAAAUAGUGAUAAAGCCAACCUAGAUCAUUGCUUGUUAUCUGCUCAGGUGUUUUCUCUUUUGCUAGCAAAUGAUUCACUUGAUGAAGAAACUUUAACCCUGACGUGAAGCAGUAUGCCUGGCUGGUUGUGAUAUUAUGCUUAUACAGAUUCCUGAAAGCUAUUGCUGUCCCUAAUUAAUUCUGUGAUGGUAGCCUGACUUAUUUUACUUAAGUUUUGCACUUCAUUAAUAAAUGUACUGUACAGGAAAAUCA